ACGAACGCUGGCGGCGUGCCUAAUACAUGCAAGUCGAGCGAGCUUGCCUAUAGAAAUUCUUCGGAAUGGACAUAGAUACAAGCUAGCGGCGGAUGGGUGAGUAACGCGUGGGUAACCUGCCCUUAAGUCUGGGAUACCAUUUGGAAACAGAUGCUAAUACCGGAUAAAAGCUACUUUCGCAUGAAAGAAGUUUAAAAGGCGGCGUAAGCUGUCGCUAAAGGAUGGACCUGCGAUGCAUUAGCUAGUUGGUAAGGUAACGGCUUACCAAGGCGAUGAUGCAUAGCCGAGUUGAGAGACUGAUCGGCCACAUUGGGACUGAGACACGGCCCAAACUCCUACGGGAGGCAGCAGUAGGGAAUCUUCCACAAUGGACGAAAGUCUGAUGGAGCAACGCCGCGUGAGUGAAGAAGGUUUUCGGAUCGUAAAGCUCUGUUGUUGGUGAAGAAGGAUAGAGGUAGUAACUGGCCUUUAUUUGACGGUAAUCAACCAGAAAGUCACGGCUAACUACGUGCCAGCAGCCGC
RNAcentral lists this ribosomal RNA (522 nucleotides) under Lactobacillus jensenii. RNAcentral describes it as "bacterial SSU rRNA". It matches the Rfam family "Bacterial small subunit ribosomal RNA", at positions 29 to 518 of the family's 1533-position model. Lineage: Bacteria; Bacillati; Bacillota; Bacilli; Lactobacillales; Lactobacillaceae. The record is from RNAcentral.